UGGCGGACGGGUGAGUAACGCGUGGGUAACCUGCCUCAUACAGGGGGAUAACAGUUAGAAAUGACUGCUAAUACCGCAUAAGACCACGGAGCCGCAUGGCUCAGUGGGAAAAACUCCGGUGGUAUGAGAUGGACCCGCGUCUGAUUAGGUAGUUGGUGGGGUAACGGCCUACCAAGCCAACGAUCAGUAGCCGACCUGAGAGGGUGACCGGCCACAUUGGGACUGAGACACGGCCCAA
This 238-nucleotide ribosomal RNA is filed under the name uncultured bacterium. RNAcentral's name for it is "partial 16S ribosomal RNA". It matches the Rfam family "Bacterial small subunit ribosomal RNA", at positions 96 to 334 of the family's 1533-position model. The record is from RNAcentral.